UGGGUACCAGGACAGCAGCAAGGUCCAAGUGGGCAGAAUGAAGGGCAUGGGAUAGGUAGCCAGGGAGUCCUGAUUCCUGGACAAUCAUGGGACCCUCUGUGUGACUUGGUUUCCAUCCUCUAGGAACAAGACCCCUGUCCGCCAUGCACCUCUGAGGAGAUUAUAGGAUGGAUGAAAGAGAGCCUCUUGAAAGGACCAGCUCCCACUCCAGAUAAUUGCUAGGGAUCAAACUCGGGACCUUGGGCUUGUGAGGCAGGCGGCGGAACCACUGAGCUAAA
RNAcentral lists this long non-coding RNA (278 nucleotides) under Heterocephalus glaber (naked mole-rat). RNAcentral's name for it is "lncRNA (ENSHGLG00000036216.1)". The record is from RNAcentral. Lineage: Eukaryota; Metazoa; Chordata; Mammalia; Rodentia; Bathyergidae.